This 44-nucleotide transfer RNA is filed under the name Ampelopsis glandulosa. RNAcentral describes it as "partial tRNA-His". The record is from RNAcentral. RNAcentral also lists the same sequence under 1 other name. Lineage: Eukaryota; Viridiplantae; Streptophyta; Magnoliopsida; Vitales; Vitaceae.
GGCGGAUGUAGCCAAGUGGAUCAAGGCAGUGGAUUUGUGAANCC